Molecule: long non-coding RNA, 867 nt
Organism: Pogoniulus pusillus (Red-fronted tinkerbird)
Lineage: Eukaryota; Metazoa; Chordata; Aves; Piciformes; Lybiidae
Exons: 2
Source: RefSeq, a predicted model, not a curated record
GGGAUCCUCCUCCCAUCAUCACUGGUGAGUCCCCAAGGGUGCAUCACUGGGUGAAUGGUGGAGGUGAUCUAAAGGCCGGGGGGCCUGCUUGGCCCCCCGGCUAGGUAGGGUAGGGAGCUGCUCAUUACUUGAACAUCAACUCACUGGCACUGGCUGGGGCUCCUCACUUAGGCUGAGCUCUUCUGUGUUUGCUUGCAAGGAGACACAGAGAUGAGAGCACCAUGGAUGCCAUAGUCUCCCUACAGGUGGCUGUGGCUGUCCUUGGGAAGAAGAGAGGUAUUGCUUCACCAGAAGAACUCAGAGCACCGCACUGGUAAAACCAUUCCAGCAGUACAAACUUGGGGAAGAUGAACCUCUCCUAACUUAAAUGAACUCUGUGUAGGUUGGAAAACCUCUUUUCAACACUGCCAAAUCUUUGAGGUGGAAAUGUGCCUGUUGUGAGGGAAUGAUUGAAGUGUGAAAGCCACCUAUCUGUGAGAAGCCUGUAACAGAUACCCACCUGCACGGAUCAGUGGGACUGUGUAACACCAGCUACUGCUGCAUGCUGAUCUCUUUUUAGAGCCUCUUUUCCUCCAGUCCCAGUGUCAGUCUACAGCUAAUGCUGUAGCACCAUGGAGUUGUCUAUCAAAUACCAUCUCACAAGGCCAUCCUGAUAAUGUAAAGGCCCAUAGGAUGUAGAACUGGAGCAGCCAGCUUUGCUGAUGGGCUGAAGCAGGUACCCUCAUGCUUCAACUGUUGCAAGCACUGUGUAUGUGUAAAAUGCAAGGCACAUUAUGCUGGCUGUUUGGAGAGUCUGACAAUGUGACUGGUUCAAUGUCCUUUAACUUCUGAAUGGUGAAUGAUCUAUAAAUAUUUUAACACUCCUGC